ACGCUCGACACCUACGGGAGGUAGCAGUGGGGAAUAUUGCACAAUGGGGGAAACCCUGAUGCAGCGACGCCGCGUGAGCGAAGGAGUAUUUCGGUAUGUAAAGCUCUAUCAGCAGGGAAGAAAAUGACGGUACCUGACUAAGAAGCCCCGGCUAACUACGUGCCAACAGCCGCGGUAAUCUGAGCGGGCUGGCAAGGC
RNAcentral lists this ribosomal RNA (198 nucleotides) under uncultured bacterium. RNAcentral describes it as "partial 16S ribosomal RNA". It matches the Rfam family "Bacterial small subunit ribosomal RNA", at positions 328 to 539 of the family's 1533-position model. The record is from RNAcentral.